CCCCAGUCAUCCUGUGGUGGCUGUCCUUCUGGGUGGUAUGCAGAGGGAUGGUUUUCCAUAAUAAAGCAAUCAUCUGGAUUUAAUUGCAGAUACCUAAUCCUCUCACAAGGUACUCCUGUUUAGUUUUGUGAAGUGAACAAAGACAUCAACUUAGACAUGCUCCGGGCUGGAUUCGGGUACCUCUGAGAGCUUCUGAUCAUUCCUGUGAUUAGCCAGCCUGAUCUGGAAAACAUCUGAAGGAGCAGACAUGACAGCUGGGACAAACCCAUAUCUCUCAAGACUCCUGCUGCUUUUUUAUGGUGUGGAAGCAGAGUGGGAUUUGAAGAGUUGCCUUACAGGAUGGGAAGGGGGCUGCAAUGCCUUGCUGUUCAUAUGAAUUGAUGGGAAGAAAUGCCUUCCCCAGAAGCACUGUGUACAGCAGCUGGGCACCCCAGGCUACAGCAAUUCGGAGAAACAGCUUCCCUUCCCAAUUCACCUGCUCCUUUCUUGGGGGUUUCUUGCCAUAUCAUGGCACUGUG
Long non-coding RNA from Serinus canaria (Common canary), 518 nucleotides. RefSeq lists it as uncharacterized. The record is from RefSeq and is a predicted model, not a curated record. NCBI's taxonomy places the organism in Eukaryota, Metazoa, Chordata, Aves, Passeriformes, Fringillidae. The transcript has 3 exons.